GGAAUAUUGCACAAUGGGCGCAAGCCUGAUGCAGCCAUGCCGCGUGUAUGAAGAAGGCCUUCGGGUUGUAAAGUACUUUCAGCGGGGAGGAAGGUGUUGCGGUUAAUAACCGCAGCAAUUGACGUUACCAACAGAAUAAGCACCGGCUAACUUCGUGCCAGCAGCCGCGGUAAUACGAAGGGUGCAAGCGUUAAUCGGAAUUACUGGGCGUAAAGCGCGCGUAGGUGGCUUGAUAAGUUGGAUGUGAAAUCCCCGGGCUCAACCUGGGAACUGCAUCCAAAACUGUCUGGCUAGAGUGCGGUAGAGGGGAGUGGAAUUUCCAGUGUAGCGGUGAAAUGCGUAGAUAUUGGAAGGAACACCAGUGGCGAAGGCGACUACCUGGACUGACACUGACACUGAGGUGCGAAAGCGUGGGGAGCAAACAGGA
RNAcentral lists this unclassified non-coding RNA (427 nucleotides) under plant metagenome. RNAcentral's name for it is "partial contains 5.8S ribosomal RNA, internal transcribed spacer 2, and large subunit ribosomal RNA". It matches the Rfam family "Bacterial small subunit ribosomal RNA", at positions 358 to 777 of the family's 1533-position model. The record is from RNAcentral.